This 378-nucleotide unclassified non-coding RNA is filed under the name uncultured Cellvibrionales bacterium. RNAcentral's name for it is "contains 16S-23S intergenic spacer region". The record is from RNAcentral. Lineage: Bacteria; Pseudomonadati; Pseudomonadota; Gammaproteobacteria; Cellvibrionales.
UCCGGUUUGUCACCGGCAGUCCCCUUAGAGUUCCCACCAUUACGUGCUGGCAACUAAGGGCAAGGGUUGCGCUCGUUACGGGACUUAACCCAACAUCUCACGACACGAGCUGACGACAGCCAUGCAGCACCUGUCUUAGAGUUCCCGAAGGCACUAAGCCAUCUCUGGCAAAUUCUCUAGAUGUCAAGACCUGGUAAGGUUCUUCGCGUUGCGUCGAAUUAAACCACAUGCUCCACCGCUUGUGCGGGCCCCCGUCAAUUCAUUUGAGUUUUAAUCUUGCGACCGUACUCCCCAGGCGGUCUACUUAGUGCGUUAGCUGCGCCACUAAAGCCUCAAGGACUCCAACGGCUAGUAGACAUCGUUUACGGCGUGGACUAC